CAGAUUUAUACUUCAGCAUUGUUACGAGGUGAUGAAGAAGGACCGAUACAGACAGACUACUCCCCACAGACAGAUUUAUACUUCAGCAUUGUUACGAGGUGAUGAAGAAGGACCGAUACAGACAGACUACUCCCCACAGACAGAUUUAUACUUCAGCAUUGUUACGAGGUGAUGAAGAAGGACCGAUACAGACAGACUACUCCCCACAGACAGAUUUAUACUUCAGCAUUGUUACGAGGUGAUGAAGAAGGACCGAUACAGACAGACUACUCCCCACAGACAGAUUUAUACUUCAGCAUUGUUACGAGGUGAUGAAGAAGGACCGAUACAGACAGACUACUCCCCACAGACAGAUUUAUACUUCAGCAUUGUUACGAGGUGAUGAAGAAGGACCGAUACAGACAGACUACUCCCCACAGACAGAUUUAUACUUCAGCAUUGUUACGAGGUGAUGAAGAAGGACCGAUACAGACAGACUACUCCCCACAGACAGAUUUAUACUUCAGCAUUGUUACGAGGUGAUGAAGAAGGACCGAUACAGACAGACUACUCCCCACAGACAGAUUUAUACUUCAGAAUUGUUACGAGGUGAUGAAGAAGGACCGAUACAUACAGACUACUCCCCACAGACAGAUUUAUACUUCAGCAUUGUUACGAGGUGAUGAAGAAGGACCGAUACAGACAGACUACUCCCCACAGACAGAUUUAUACUUCAGCAUUGUUACGAGGUGAUGAAGAAGGACCGAUACAGACAGACUACUCCCCACAGACAGAUUUAUACUUCAGCAUUGUUACGAGGUGAUGAAGAAGGACCGAUACAGACAGACUACUCCCCACAGACAGAUUUAUACUUCAGCAUUGUUACGAGGUGAUGAAGAAGGACCGAUACAGACAGACUACUCCCCACAGACAGAUUUAUACUUCAGCAUUGUUACGAGGUGAUGAAGAAGGACCGAUACAGACAGACUACUCCCCACAGACAGAUUUAUACUUCAGCAUUGUUACGAGGUGAUGAAGAAGGACCGAUACAGACAGACUACUCCCCACAGACAGAUUUAUACUUCAGCAUUGUUACGAGGUGAUGAAGAAGGACCGAUACAUACAGACUACUCCCCACAGACAGAUUUAUACUUCAGCAUUGUUACGAGGUGAUGAAGAAGGACCGAUACAUACAGACUACUCCCCACAGACAGAUUUAUACUUCAGCAUUGUUACGAGGUGAUGAAGAAGGACCGAUACAGACAGACUACUCCCCACAUACAGAUGAUGCUCUUUUUAUAUUUGUAUUUUUUUCUUUAUUUAAACUUUAUUUAACUGGGCAAGUCAGUGAAGAACAAAUGGUUAUUUACAGUGACAGCCUUCCCCCGG
Oncorhynchus keta (chum salmon) is the source of this 1368-nucleotide long non-coding RNA. RefSeq lists it as uncharacterized. The transcript has 4 exons. The record is from RefSeq and is a predicted model, not a curated record. NCBI's taxonomy places the organism in Eukaryota, Metazoa, Chordata, Actinopteri, Salmoniformes, Salmonidae.